CCUACGGGUGGCAGCAGUGGGGAAUAUUGGGCAAUGGGCGCAAGCCUGACCCAGCAACGCCGCGUGAAGGAAGAAGGCUUUCGGGUUGUAAACUUCUUUUAAGGGGGAAGAGCAGAAGACGGUACCCCUUGAAUAAGCCACGGCUAACUACGUGCCAGCAGCCGCGGUAAUACGUAGGGGGCAAGCGUUAUCCGGAUUUACUGGGGGUAAAGGGGGCGCAGACGGCGAUGCAAGCCAUGAGUGAAAGCCCGGGGCGCAAGCCCGGGACUGCUGUUGGAACUGCGUGGCUGGAGUGCAGGAGGGGCAGGCGGAAUUCCUGGUGUAGCGGUGAAAUGCGUAGAUAUCAGGAGGAACACCGGUGGCGAAGGCGGCCUGCUGGACUGCAACUGACGUUGAGGCCCGAAAGCGUGGGGAGCAAACAGGAGUAGAUACCCUGUAGUC
RNAcentral lists this ribosomal RNA (441 nucleotides) under uncultured bacterium. RNAcentral's name for it is "partial 16S ribosomal RNA". It matches the Rfam family "Bacterial small subunit ribosomal RNA", at positions 338 to 795 of the family's 1533-position model. The record is from RNAcentral.